UACAGAGGGUGCGAGCGUUAAUCGGAAUUGCUGGGCGUAAAGCGUGCGUAGACGGUUAUUUAAGUCGGGUGUGAAAGCCCCGGGCCCAACCUGGGAAUUGCAUUCGAGACUGAAUAGCUAGGGUACGGUAGAGGGAAGCGGAAUUCCAGGUGUAGCGGUGAAAUGCGUAGAUAUCUGGAGGAACACCGGUGGCGAAGGCGGCAUCCUGGACCGGCAUUGACGCUGAGGCGCGAAAGCCAGGGGAGCAAACGGG
Molecule: ribosomal RNA, 253 nt
Filed under: uncultured bacterium
Lineage: Bacteria
Description: partial 16S ribosomal RNA
Rfam family: Bacterial small subunit ribosomal RNA
Source: RNAcentral